RNAcentral lists this long non-coding RNA (3093 nucleotides) under Nicotiana tabacum (common tobacco). Its description in RNAcentral is "long non-coding RNA (NTAB_LNC008259)". The record is from RNAcentral. Lineage: Eukaryota; Viridiplantae; Streptophyta; Magnoliopsida; Solanales; Solanaceae.
GCCACUAAAGGCCCAAAUUUGAGCUCAACUCGCUCAAGCUCAUACCCACUCCUACUCUCUACAAAAAAACAAAAAAAAAAAAAAAGGGAGCUCACUCCCAUUUUUGGGAGAGGCAGGCAGCUGCACAAAAAAAAAAGAAAAAAAAAAAGGGGAACGGGAGCAGCUUCAUGAAAAAAAAACGCAGCUGCUGCUAUUGACCUUCCGUCAAGCCAACACCACCUUCUUCGUUAACAAAGUGUCGAAACUCUAUUGUUAGCACCAUUCUCGUUACUAAACCAACUUCAAAAACAACCUCUUUUCUCUCUCCCUAAAAGGCCAUGAAAACCAGUGAGUUUCUUCCGCCGGAAAACACCCCGAUACACCCCUGAAACAUCAGUAAAACUAGCCCAAACCAGCUGUAAAACGCCCAUCCAAAUAGCCCCAAAACAACUCCGAAAAACAGUCGAGCAACCAAAUUCCGUCGAAGAUCCGGCGAGGCUGCCGGUAUAGUUUCGCGGUCGAGUUAGCUAGGUCGUUGGUAGAGCUUCAGUCAAUGUCUCAUUCGCUUUCAAAUUUGGUUGGCAUUUUCAUUGUAAUCCAACAUUAAAGGUUGCUAUCAACAUGAAAGGAAAUUGUCUGCACUAAGGUCCAUUUCUCUGCGUCCUUUUCUUUUAGAUUCUAAACUAGUGGAUGAAUAUUUUUGUUCCAUGUCCCAAAUGAAACCUGCUUAUAUAUCUUUGGUACUGGCGUGAUAUUUUGAGUUAUUAGUUUCAUGUUUGCAUAAUGGAUAAAUGGAUGCUCUGUUCCUUAGGCCAUUAGUGAUUUUCGAUUUCUUUGUAUUUUUUUGUUCACUUCCAUUUUUUAAAUUGAAAUUUUGUGUCGUUUAUUGUUGCAUAUUUCAUGUCCCAAUAGUUUCAAGUGCCAGUGAAUAUUAAGAUUCCAUAUUUAUUUUAUUAGUUCAUUCUUAUUGUUUUCCUUGAGAAAAGAUGCACAAAUCUUUAUGUGUUUGUCACGCCUCUAGCUAUUUUGCUUAGUGCUCUUAUGUGUUCAAGCUCUAUUCAAUUGUUUUGACAUGCCGUUAUUUUGUAUUUGAUUAAGCUUGCCUUGUAGCUAAAUUGGGGGUUGAUUUAGUGAUUGUGGAAGUGUAAACAGAUCUUUGUCCUCAACAGAGUGGGUUGUAGGGUACUUUUAAGAAAAUAACAGAUUUGAGCUUAAGGAUACUGUUUGGUCAUGAAAGCAUUUAUAAAGGGAUAAAUGUUAUGGCCUAGCGUGAUCACAAAUCAUAUUAGUUAGCACAUUCCUUAUAAAUUACUAUAGUAGAUUAUCCAAAUCCUUCUAGCUUAGCAAGAUAAUUGAACUUGCUAAUAAAUCCAAUAGCUAAUCUUACACUUCUUCCACAAAGAAUUUUCCAUACUUCCCGUGGCUUCACAAUGAUCUCAAAGUAAUUAGGCAAAAUAAUUCAAAUACGCUAGUUGCUUUAGGCACACCUAAAUAAAUUAUCGUGGUUAUGGGUUCGGUUUUCGUGGCAUAGCUAUGAUACGUAAUCCCAAUUCGAGUGCGCGUUUACGUGACUUGACCACAACUUCAAAUAAUUAAAAUAAACAUGUUGUGAAUCACGGGUACGUUUCACGUGGCGUGAUUUGCGAUGUGUAAAAAAAACAACAAGUGUGCGACAUCGUGACUUGUUCAAAUAAUUUCCAUACAACAACAACAACAACCCAGUAAAAUCCACUAAUGGGGUCUGGGGAGGGUAGUGUGUACGCAUACCUUACCCCUACCCCGAAGGAGUAGAGAGGUUGUUUCUGAAAGACCCUCUUCUAAAAAAAAAAAAAAAAGAAGACAAAAGGGCAAAAAGAGAGACAAUAUUAGUAUCACAACAACAAUCAUAGGAUAAAUGGGAACACCAUGAAAUCCAGAAGAAAGAUGCAAAGUAAAGGGAGACAAUAUUAGUAAAUAUUAGUAUCACCACAACAGUCAUAAGAAAAAUAGAAACACCAUGAAAUCUAGAAGAAAGAUGUAAAGCAAAAGCGAUAGCUAGUAAACAGGACCUGCACUGAAAAGCGAAAUAGUAAGCCACAAUAUUCCCACUAGUUAUCUUAGACAAAAACCCUACAUGGCUAGUCCCACCAUGUUACGAAGUAAGACACGACUCAACUACCUCCUAACCUACAACCCUAAUACUCGACCUCCACAUCAUCCUAUCAAGUGUCAUGUCCUCGGAAAUCUGGAGCCUCGCCAUAUCCUGCCUGAUCACCUCUCCCUAAUACUUUUUAGGCCGCCCUCUACCUCUUCUCGUGCCCUUCGUAACCAGCUACUCACACCUCCGUACCGGAGCAUCUGGGCUUCUCCUCUGAAAGCGGUAAUGCACAAUAGGUUUCAAAUACAUAUUGAAUCAGAUAAUUAGGCCAAUUAUUAACAUUUGAGCGACCUUGCUAAAACCACAGAACUCGGGAGUGUCUCACACCUUCUCCCAGGUUAACAGAAUUUCUUACCCGGUCUUCUGUGUUCGCAGACCAUAAAUAAGAGUCAAUUUCCUCGAUUUGGGAUUUAAAAUAAAUCGGUGACUUGGGACACCAUAAAUUAUUCCAAGUAGCGAUUCUGAAUUUAAUAAAUAAUUUUAUUUCGAUUAAUGUCACUUUAAUUGAAAAAACUCUCAUAUCCCCCUCAGAAAAAAGGAGGUGUGAUAGCUGUUAUACUUGAAAAGAAAAUGUUUAUUUUUCCGAAAUUGUAUACGAGCUGAGCAUUUUAUUUAUUGAGUUAUUUCUGGUGUUACUUUCAUUAUAUUGUUAUGCAUUGUUGCUGGUUAUUGGUGUUGUAUGCUGACUUUUGUUUUAGCUCGUCACUACUUUCAAUCUAAGGUUAGGUUUGUUACUUAUUGAGUACAUGUAGUCGGUUGUACUCAUACUACACUUAUGUACCUUGCGUGCAAAUUUUGGAUGUUGGUGUUGUACAUGGCGGGAUCAAGCAUUGAAGAUGUACCUGCGAUCCAGUCACAAAUGUCUCUUGUUCUUGGUAGCUUUAAAAAUUUUAAUCUGUUCAGGUAUAUUUCAAACAAAUGAUGUAUUUUUAUUCACACCAGAUUUGUAAAUUCUAAUCUUAAAAACUCAUGAGUUG